GACCGAGGGUGCAAACGUUGUUCGGAAUUACUGGGCGUAAAGCGUGUGUAGGCGGCCAAGCAAGUCGGAUGUGAAAGCCCAGGGCUCAACCCUGGAAGUGCACUCGAUACUGCAUGGCUUGAGUAUCGGAGAGGUUGGUGGAAUUCUCGGUGUAGAGGUGAAAUUCGUAGAUAUCGAGAGGAACACCGGUGGCGAAGGCGGCCAACUGGACGAAUACUGACGCUGAGACACGAAAGCGUGGGGAGCAAACAGG
This 253-nucleotide ribosomal RNA is filed under the name uncultured bacterium. Its description in RNAcentral is "partial 16S ribosomal RNA". It matches the Rfam family "Bacterial small subunit ribosomal RNA", at positions 524 to 776 of the family's 1533-position model. The record is from RNAcentral.